CCUACGGGAGGCAGCAGUAGGGAAUCUUCCGCAAUGGACGAAAGUGUGACGGAGCAACGCCGCGUGAGUGAUGAAGGUUUUCGGAUCGUAAAGCUCUGUUGCCAGGGAAGAAUGCUUGGGAGAGUAACUGCUCCCAAGGUGACGGUACCUGAGAAGAAAGCCCCGGCUAACUACGUGCCAGCAGCCGCGGUAAU
Molecule: ribosomal RNA, 194 nt
Filed under: uncultured bacterium
Lineage: Bacteria
Description: partial 16S ribosomal RNA
Rfam family: Bacterial small subunit ribosomal RNA
Source: RNAcentral